Monopterus albus (swamp eel) is the source of this 321-nucleotide long non-coding RNA. RefSeq lists it as uncharacterized. The transcript has 3 exons. The record is from RefSeq and is a predicted model, not a curated record. Lineage: Eukaryota; Metazoa; Chordata; Actinopteri; Synbranchiformes; Synbranchidae.
AUUGUCUACUGGUGUUUUGUUAGGUACUAGUGUCAGUUUGUCUGUCAGUUGACCUCUUUGUCUUUCCGUUUCUCAGAGAUACCCAUCUCUUCAAGGCCUGGAUGACCUCAGACAUGAGCCAGAGGUAGAGCUCGACACUUCACUGACAUUUGGGACCAUGAGGAAAACCACAGCAAUCAUGAUGGAACAAAUUCAACAGAAGCUGGAGAAUCUGACCAGCACUGAGCUUCAGAGAGUUCCAAAGUUUACAGUGGACGUAAGGCUGGAUCCAGCUACUGCGUACCGGCACCUUGUUAUUUCUGAUGAUGGGAAGGAAGUGAA